This 1039-nucleotide long non-coding RNA is filed under the name Pavo cristatus (Indian peafowl). RNAcentral's name for it is "lncRNA (ENSPSTG00000011698.1)". The record is from RNAcentral. Lineage: Eukaryota; Metazoa; Chordata; Aves; Galliformes; Phasianidae.
CUCUCCUCCCCGCACUGCCGCAGGGCGAUGCCCGCUGCCUCCCCCCGCCCGCGCCCCCCGCCCGUACCUCUCUCCGUGCCCGGGGAGCGGCCGCUCGCCCCCGUUUUCAGGUUUUCCCCUCCCGGUGCCCGCAGCUCGCGGUGCUACGCCUCAUUCCUCGGCGAACGUCGCCAAUAGCGGCGGUGGCGGCUCGCUGGCAUCCACCGGCACUUAAUAUUCCUGCCCCAUUGGAUCUGCUGAUAAAUCUCAACUCUGACGUCAAAGUCUUCACUUAUAUUCAUGAUCCAGCGCUGUGAAUCAGAGCCGCUGUGCUCGGAAUAACAACGAGGCCGGGCCGCUCCGCAGAGCACGCGGCGCGGGGGCUCUGCACCCGCCUCCCCCCCGGCCCCCUCCCCCGGCCCAAGGUCGGGGCCGCCGCCGCUGUUUGUGCCGCCGGAGCUUGGGGGGGUGGGGGCUGAGCCGGUGCGGUGCGGUCCGGGCCCCCCCGCAGGGACAGAACUCCCAAAGGCACCGCGGUUGUUCCGGCUCCGUCAUUCACAAAGGGACGCGGAUCUCCCGAGCGCGGACGCUGCUCUCCCGCAUGCGGGGGCGUCUCGGAGACCUCUCCCCCCCACGCACCCCGCGCCGGUUUCGUAACGCCCCCGGUCCGCAACCUCAGCUGCAGCCCGGCCGGGCUCUGCGGGGUGCGGGACGAGGCCGGGGCUGGGGGACCCCGCGGGGGUCACGCGGUGCGGGUCUCGCAGUGGGGGAGGGCCGGGUGGGGGCCCCGAGCAGCCCCCGCAGCGGGCAGGAAUCUCACCCCAAACCCCGCAGUGCUCGGACGCGGCCUCCUGGUCCCUCCGUCAGCUCCUCCUGCGCUCUCACCUGCAGGGAUCACCCCGUGCAGGUUUCAUGCAUGAAAACACAGCGGCCAGGAUCAGCCAGCCUACCAGCAGAGAGAGAAGCUAAGGAGAGAGUGACUAAGCAAUUACUUUUGUUUCUGCCUUGGGUUGCAAUUCAAGGAAAAGCAUUUGUGUCGUGUGCGUUUGAUCAUACAUGA